GCCGGGCACGGUGGCGCGUGCCUGUAGUCCCAGCUACUCAGGAGGCUGAGGUGGGAAGAUCGCUUGAGCCCAGGAGUUCUGGGCUGCAGUGCACUAUGCAGAUCGGGUGUCCGCACUAAGUUCGGCAUCAAUAUGGUGACCUCCCAGGAGCGGGGGACCACCAGGUUGCCUAAGGAGGGGUGAACCGGCCCAGGUCGGAAAUGGAGCAGGUCAAAACUCCCGUGCUGAUCAGUAGUGGGAUCGCGCCUGUGAAUAGCCACUGCACUCCAGCCUGGGCAACAUAGCGAGACCCUGUCUCU
RNAcentral lists this signal recognition particle RNA (299 nucleotides) under Cebus imitator (Panamanian white-faced capuchin). Its description in RNAcentral is "Metazoan signal recognition particle RNA (ENSCCAG00000007447.1)". It matches the Rfam family "Metazoan signal recognition particle RNA". Rfam says of the family: The signal recognition particle (SRP) is a universally conserved ribonucleoprotein. It is involved in the co-translational targeting of proteins to membranes. Lineage: Eukaryota; Metazoa; Chordata; Mammalia; Primates; Cebidae. The record is from RNAcentral.